GUGGGGAAUAUUCCGCAAUGGACGAAAGUCUGACGGAGCAACGCCGCGUGAGUGAUGAAGGUUUUCGGACUGUAAAGCUCUGUUGUUUAGGACGAAAGUGCCUGUUGCAAAUAGUUACAGGUAUUGACGGUACUGAACGAGGAAGCCACGGCUAACUACGUGCCAGCAGCCGCGGUAAUACGUAGGUGGCAAGCGUUGUCCGGAAUUAUUGGGCGUAAAGAGCAUGUAGGCGGGAAUCUAAGUCUGUUGUGAAAAUGCGGGGCUCAACCCCGUAUUGCGAUGGAAACUGGGUUUCUUGAGUGCAGGAGAGGAAAGGGGAAUUCCCAGUGUAGCGGUGAAAUGCGUAGAUAUCAGGAAGAACACCGGAGGCGAAGGCGGCUUACUGGACAAUAACUGACGUUGAGGCUCGAAAGCGUGGGAAGCAAACAGGAUUAGAAACCCUGGUAGUCC
RNAcentral lists this ribosomal RNA (450 nucleotides) under uncultured bacterium. Its description in RNAcentral is "partial 16S ribosomal RNA". It matches the Rfam family "Bacterial small subunit ribosomal RNA", at positions 354 to 796 of the family's 1533-position model. The record is from RNAcentral.